This 433-nucleotide ribosomal RNA is filed under the name uncultured bacterium. RNAcentral describes it as "bacterial SSU rRNA". It matches the Rfam family "Bacterial small subunit ribosomal RNA", at positions 29 to 507 of the family's 1533-position model. The record is from RNAcentral.
AACGAACGCUGGCGGCAUGCCUAACACAUGCAAGUCGAACGAGACCUUCGGGUCUAGUGGCGCACGGGUGCGUAACGCGUGGGAAUCUGCCCUUGGGUUCGGAAUAACAGUGAGAAAUUACUGCUAAUACCGGAUGAUGACUUCGGUCCAAAGAUUUAUCGCCCAAGGAUGAGCCCGCGUAGGAUUAGGUAGUUGGUGGGGUAAUGGCCUACCAAGCCGACGAUCCUUAGCUGGCCUGAGAGGAUGAUCAGCCACACUGGGACUGAGACACGGCCCAGACUCCUACGGGAGGCAGCAGUGGGGAAUAUUGGACAAUGGGCGAAAGCCUGAUCCAGCAAUGCCGCGUGAGUGAUGAAGGCCUUAGGGUUGUAAAGCUCUUUUACCAGGGAUGAUAAUGACAGUACCUGGAGAAUAAGCUCCGGCUAACUCCGUG